RNAcentral lists this ribosomal RNA (5571 nucleotides) under Triticum aestivum (bread wheat). RNAcentral's name for it is "partial small subunit ribosomal RNA". The record is from RNAcentral. Lineage: Eukaryota; Viridiplantae; Streptophyta; Magnoliopsida; Poales; Poaceae.
AUGGGUUCCCGAUUGUUCCUAGAUAUUUCAGAGCAACUAGAGUGGUCUUACCUGACAAGCUCCAAUGUUGUGCUGAAGUAUUUUGAACAAGCUUGUCCUUUGCCUUAUGCUGGAACAAGGCACCUUCUAUUCCCCAUGGGCACCAAGAAUGCGAAAACAUUGAUGAUUCGAGCAAAUGUAAGUUCAGGCUUCAAGAUUGAGCCGAGCGCCCUACCAGCAGAUCUGGAUAAUGCAUACAAGAAUGAGAAAGCAUAUCAGCGAUUGGAUAUUUCUAGCCCUACAGUUAACCCUUUUGUUUUUUCCUUGAUAGACACCUUCUCUGGUCUGGAGUUCCACAACAGAGAUGGCUGGAUUUUGCGGAACGGGGUGGAUGAUUUUGAAGGCGAGCUCGACGGCUGCAAUAUCAGGGAAGCCCUCCUGAACUACUGCAGUUUUAUCAACGACUAUAGUAUAUUAAGAUGUGGGCACUAUAUCGAAAGUGUUGUUCUACACCCGAGGUCAUCCCAUGACGUAGCCAUCUGCAUCUGCCUCGCCUUGAGGCCACAACAGCACCCCUGCCCUUCUGCUCCUGCUGGCGACCGCAACCCUCUGGCGGCAGCAACACCGCUCUUGUGUGCUGGCCUUGCUGUCUCAUCUCCUCUCUCUCUCAUGUUUGGUAUUGCUGUUGGAGAUGAGCUUAAGAGGCGAAAGAGUAAAGAUCUGUGGAUGUUCUGGAACCUCGAAGAUGAUGAUUUGCACUCCACAUUGGAAGGAGAAGAUGUUCUUUUAGACUUUUGUCUCGUGAGAAAUCAUGGGAUUAGCCCAAGUAUGGGCCGAGAUAGGAACGAGCCGGAGCAGGUGACGACGCGCGUGCCGCGUCAUCGCAUGCGGAGGCGAGUCCGUCACAUCCAUGACCCCACUAUCUAUCUUAGGGGGCAUAUUUAUUGGCGCUGCAAGUCCCACGACAGAGAGGCAUUAAGUGACCAUCUCCCUCGCCACCACCUGUCAGAAAACUCCUCUCCCCUUGUCGCUCGCUCUCUCCCCCCUCUCCGUCCCUCCGCUGCCUUCCUCGCCUCCAACUCCCCCCGAUUUCUCCGCCCCUGUCCCCUGCCCUCGUGCUGGAGUAACCGGCGCAUGCCCCCGCUCCUAUUUCUCCUUCAUGCCUCACUCUCUCUCGCCCAGCCCGCUCUCUUCUGCUCUGAAGCAAGGGCGGCAACUACCUGCACGGUUGCAAGGUGUGCGUGGCGUCGUGGGGGAGUGGAAGAACUGGCGCGGAUUCGUGCGUGCGGGGGUCGUCUAGAGAGGUACAAGUGCUGCCUCGCCCUAAUGCUUGCUUCUAGUUUCGCCAGAUCUGUUGAGUCCGCCUCCUGCUUGUGUGGAUUUCAUUUCCCCUUUCUUGAUUUCAGCAUUCAGAUGCAUGUUGUUCUAGUGUUUGGAGUUGCAUUCAUCAAGGCGGUUGUGUUGUCAUGGCUUCAGAACCUUCUCCAGGUUAAUACUGAUGCUCCAAUAUCUGAUGCGGCUAAAUCACCCAUUAUCCCUUUGACUGUGAUUGCCGAGGUUGCUUCGAGCCUUGAGAAUUUUUCAAGCCUCGAGGAUCUUGCUUCUGCAGCUCUUGCUUCACCUAAUGUGUCCACAGAGGAGGAAGCUGUGAACACCAUCAACGAUGUUUUAUUUGAGUUGGGUUUAUCAGAAACCCCUGCUGCUGCUGAGGAGGGGGCUCCGUCAGUCAAAGGUUGUGAUUCCAUUCCAGAUCCUUUGUGCUCUCUUCAGAUGUCAGAGACGCAGUCGCAGUCUGUUGAUGGCACUGAACAUGUCACGCAACCCGAGGAUGUGCCUGUUCAGUUUCUCCUGGAGGACCAACGUAAGAGGAAGAAGCAAGAAGAUUUUGACAAGAAGAGGGUGGCCCGCCUUGAGAAAGGUUCUGAUGUUCUUGGAUAUGUUCAUGCGGCUGAGCUCACUGUUGAGGAAGACGUGCCGUGUGACAGUGAUGGCAUGGUUGUCCCUGUUAAGAAGAAAAUCAAGAUUGCAGCGAGGAAGCUAGUAGUUGGUGACGUUACUCCUCGGAGGAGCCCACGUGUUUCAAGGCCUGCAGAAGUUGUUGAAGAUGAAUUGUUAGGCCUUGGUGAUGACAAGGAUGAUGCUGAUUUCAAUGCUAAUGAUGAGGACGACGACGAUGAUGCUGUUGCCGCUAAUCAGUAUCAGCUUGUGCAGCGGCCUGAGAGGAGGAAGAGAGGAGGCAAAACGCCCGAAGAAGUUGGCCAAGGAGGAGUUGAGGCGAAACGUUUUAACAAGACGGUUCGCUGCUCACUGAAAGAGGUCAAGACGUGUGCGAAAAUGCUACAACUUAGGCACAAGACGAGGGUUAUCAAUGCUGGUUUUGGUUGUGUGUUUGACUUGAAGGUUGAUUCCAACAUUUCUCGUCCUUUGAUGGGCAACAUCUACAUGAGGAUUGACCCUUCAACCAUGAUUUUGGACAUGGGUGAGGUGAACAAGGGCAAGCUUGGGUAUGCUAGGAGUGACGACAUCAAGACAAAGGAUUUGCGGAAUAUCCUCGCUGAACUUGUGAAGGAUGAGACGAAGGAUGAUCUUGCUCUGCAGAGUGAUGUUGUUAGGUAUCAGCAAGGUACUAGUAGAGGAAAAGCUGUCAUAGGCUAUGCCAUCACGCCGCUUCUUAUGUACCUGGACUUCCUUAUCAUUGGCAAGACGCCUAAUAUUGACUUGAGGACCCCUCGCAUCAAUUUCAUGGAUCAGGCCAAGCUUAUUGAGCUUGCUGCGGCUGACUUGGUCACGAAGGGUGAUGAUGACCCAGCCAACUGGGUGUUUGGGAGACUGCCUUGGAAGACACAGGCUGAGGUUGUGUUCUUUAGGGUUAUUGAACGUCCUGUUCUAACUAUGCCUCAUUCCACCGGCCUGGGGAGUGGAACUUCCCCAAGAUUUGAAUUCUCCCGGGAUGUUAAUACCGGUGGCGUUUCUUCCGAGAAUUUGUUUGAAGCUUCCAAUGUUUCUCUGGUUAGGAUUGAUAGUCUUCUUGAAACUGUUUGUGGGGAGUUGGCUCGUGUUCCUUCAACUGCUGAGCGUCUUAGUCGCAUUGAUGGGAUUCUUCCUCCCGGACACGGAUUUGAUGCUGAGUCUUCGAAGGGGGUCUUAUCUAUUGAAGCUAAAUUUCUUGAAGAGCUUCGUCAGAGCACUUCCCACCUCCGGACUAGCGUUGGGCUGUUCAAGGAAAUGCAGGAUGCUCGUUGCAAGCCUUUUGAAGAUGAGGCAAGUGUUGUUGUGAGACAAAUUCAGAGGCAGGAUUCUAUUCGUUCAGGUCGUGAAGGAGGCCACGUGGAGCGUACCAAAGAGGCUGUUGAUGAUGAUGCUAGGGUUGAGGAGGAUGUUUUACCUGCGCAUGAAGCUGCUCCUGUGCAUGAACCUGCUCCCGCCAGUGGCGUAAUAGUUGAUGAGGUUCAUGGCAGUGAAAAUAAGCAGCAGAAUGAUGAUGUUAGUGUUGCUCCAGAGAAGGUUGCAGACAUGUCCGUCUCAGGCACCGGCUGCUCCGACGGGGUGGUCCUGACUGAACCUCAGUCGUCCAUUGGCACUGAGGUUUCUGAUGCUGAGCAGGGCAAGACAACUGGAGACAUCAUUUUGGAGAAAGAUCAUGUUGAGCCUGCUGUUGAGACUGGUGGUAGUGCUGCUGCAAGCCCGGAGAAGUCUCCUGCAGCAGAGCCAUUAGUUGUUGUUGAUGAUGUUCAAACACAACCAAAUGUUUUUGUUGUUUUAGAUUCUCCAGCUGCCCCAGCUGCUGCUAGUGUCCUUCCCAACGACACUGCAACGUCUGCUGGAGAUGAUGACGAAGAGACCGAAAGCGAUAGCUAUGGAGAGGAGGUUGAUCAUUCCAGUGCUGCCAUUGAUAGCGACCUUGCUGUCGUCCGAAAGAAGGUUGAUGACUUUUAUUACGGUGUAACUAGGCUUAGGAAUGAUCGUUCCAAAAGAUCAAUGUUUAUGCUCCAAAACAAGGAGUGUGAAGCUUCUGUUGAAGAUGUUGCAAUAUCUUUUGGUCCUCGUGGAAUGCUUCAAUCUAAUGUGGCUGAGUGUGCACUCUACUGUCUACGUGCGAUGUACCAGGGAUCGGAUAAACUCAUCCGACCGUAUUGGGUUUGUGACAAGAUUUUCAGAGGUCAAUUUGAUUCCCGUGUGGGGAAGUACUUCAUGGCGAGUGGUCCAGAUAGCAUGGAUGCACAUGAUUUGUUUUUAAUGAUUCGUGUGUUUAUGAGGCUUCAGGUUGUUUUCCCCACUUUUGACCCGCCUGAAAUUCCUGCUUCCAUGGGAGAUGAAUGUGCGGUACGCCUGUUUCGGCGCAUGACUGACAACAUCAAGAAGUUUUGGAAGGAUGCCAGCAACGACAGGGAGACACCCUUCAGUCCUCUUACCAUCGACCAUUUCCCUCUGGAUUGGAUUGAUGUCCCCCAGCAGCAAAACAAUAUCGACUGCGGAUUCUUCAUGCUUACGAAUGUUAAUUCAUAUCAUGACGGGGUUCUUGCAAAUUAUUCACAUGAGAAUAUCGGGGAUAUCAGGAAGACGUGGCUGUACUCAAUCGCUUCUUCUAACAUGUUUGAGACAGACUUCCAAUCUCUGUUUGGCUACUACACAUUGGAUCCGUUGGAGUUGACCGAUUACCACUACUCAUUCCUCGGGUCACAGGAAUACCAACCUAGGGAGGAACCGAUGAGUACAGCUCCGAUAGAAGACGAUAGACCUUGGACCCUCAUUCCUUCCAAGUUGGGGAAGCAGGCUGGUGGUAUUCCUGGUACUCCAAAAACCCCUUGCUACAGGAAGGCUGAUGUAGUCGAAGCAGCCGAAAAUGCUAAAUGUGUUGCUGGUACUGUUGCUAGUAGAGGUGGGAAGAAUGCUGUCAUCACGAGGAGGAAACCGACAGUUGAGUCUGGGAACAUAACUUCCUCCAAGAGAGCAUCAAGAUUGCCUUUGAAGUGGCGUUCUCCUGUCGCUCCCCUGAAAAAAUACAGUUACCCUCAUCUAUCCGAGGCCCGAAAGUUGAAACAAUAUGUGCUGAGUAAAUACGGUCUGGAGAAGUAUUCUGAGACAAGCUACUGCAUGUUUACCAUCCCUGCGAAUGAUAAGCCGGAGACCUAUGAGAUAUUCACUAAUGCUGACAGGGUUGUACUUAGUCCCUACUUCAUACAGUACUGCCUGGAGUAUGAUUUCUACACCGCAAUAGUUCCAAAGUUUGAUGCAAAAAAAUCAGCUGGUCUCCUCCCAAUGUUUGUCCGCAAGGAAGAAGACCUUCUUAACACAAAGCUGGUUUUCUUGAUUCUAUUCAAGCCAAUUGGCACAACGGCGCACUACAAUGUGUAUGUGAUGAAGAGAUUUGUUGGGUUUCUUGAGGAGGUGUACGGCAAGGCUGCGUAUAAGGCGAAAAGCAGCCUAACUGGCUCUUCGUAUGAUGGUGAUGAGAUUGUUGAAGAUUUUGGUGAUGUGGAAGCUACUGCAAAUGACUGGAAGGCUGAGUUCAUGCACACUCUGAUUUUUAGCGAGAAGAAUGAAGUCAUGCGUUUAGAGCUCCCUAAAGAUAUCCAGUCCUUUGGCCUGUGA